UACGGAGGAUCCAAGCGUUAUCCGGAUUUAUUGGGUUUAAAGGGUGCGCAGGCGGCGAGUUAAGUCAGCGGUAAAAUUUCGGGGCUCAACCCCGUCGUGCCGUUGAAACUGAUGUUCUUGAGUGGGCGAGAAGUAUGCGGAAUGCGUGGUGUAGCGGUGAAAUGCAUAGAUAUCACGCAGAACUCCGAUUGCGAAGGCAGCAUACCGGCGCCCAACUGACGCUGAAGCACGAAAGCGUGGGUAUCGAACAGG
Molecule: ribosomal RNA, 252 nt
Filed under: uncultured Bacteroidales bacterium
Lineage: Bacteria; Pseudomonadati; Bacteroidota; Bacteroidia; Bacteroidales
Description: partial 16S ribosomal RNA
Rfam family: Bacterial small subunit ribosomal RNA
Source: RNAcentral